UUAAGCUACUAAGGGCGCACGGUGGAUGCCUUGGCACUAGAAGCCUAAGAAGGACGGGACGAACACCGAUAUGCUUCGGGGAGCUGUAAGUACGCUUUGAUCCGGAGAUUUCCGAAUGGGGGAACCCACCAUCUUUAAUAGGAUGGUAUCCAUUUCUGAAUACAUAGGGAAUGGAAGGCAGACCCGGGGAACUGAAACAUCUCAUUACCCGGAGGAAGAGAAAGCAAACGCGAUUUCCUGAGUAGCGGCGAGCGAAACGGAAUCAGCCCAAACCAGAGGGCUUGCCCUCUGGGGUUGUAGGACGUCUCUUUGGAGUUACAAAGGCACGGAUAGACGAAGCGACCUGGAAAGGUCCAUCAGAGAAGGUAACAAUCCUGUAGUCAAAAUCCGCUGCCCUCCGAGACGGAUCCUGAGUACGGCGGGACACGUGAAACCCCGUCGGAAUCUGGGAGGACCAUCUCCCAAGGCUAAAUACUCUCUAGUGACCGAUAGUGAACCAGUACCGUGAGGGAAAGGUGAAAAGCACCCCGGAAGGGGAGUGAAAGAGAACCUGAAACCGUGUGCCUACAACUAGUUGGAGCCCGUUAAUGGGUGACAGCGUGCCUUUUGUAGAAUGAACCGGCGAGUUACGAUCCCGUGCAAGGUUAAGCUGAUAAGGCGGAGCCGCAGCGAAAGCGAGUCUGAAUAGGGCGAAAUAGUACGUGGUCGUAGACCCGAAACCAGGUGAUCUACCCAUGUCCAGGGUGAAGUUCAGGUAACACUGAAUGGAGGCCCGAACCCACGCAUGUUGAAAAAUGCGGGGAUGAGGUGUGGGUAGCGGUGAAAUGCCAAUCGAACCUGGAGAUAGCUGGUUCUCUCCGAAAUAGCUUUAGGGCUAGCCUCGCGGCAAGAAUCUUGGAGGUAGAGCACUGAUUGGACUAGGGGUCCUUACCGGAUUACCGAAUCCAGUCAAACUCCGAAUGCCAACGAUUUAUCCGCGGGAGUCAGACUGCGAGUGAUAAGAUCCGUAGUCGAGAGGGAAACAGCCCAGACCACCAGCUAAGGUCCCAAAGUAUACGUUAAGUGGAAAAGGAUGUGGCGUUGCUUAGACAACCAGGAUGUUGGCUUAGAAGCAGCCAUCAUUUAAAGAGUGCGUAAUAGCUCACUGGUCGAGUGACGCUGCGCCGAAAAUGUACCGGGGCUAAACGUAUCACCGAAGCUGUGGAUUGUCUUACGACAAUGGUAGGAGAGCGUUCUAAGGGCUGUGAAGUCAGACCGAAAGGACUGGUGGAGCGCUUAGAAGUGAGAAUGCCGGUAUGAGUAGCGAAAGACAAGUGAGAAUCUUGUCCGUCGAAAGCCCAAGGUUUCCUGAGGAAGGCUCGUCCGCUCAGGGUUAGUCGGGACCUAAGCCGAGGCCGAAAGGCGUAGGCGAUGGAUAACAGGUUGAUAUUCCUGUACCACCUCCUUUCCGUUUGAACGACGGGGGGACGCAGAAAGAUAGGGUGAGCGCGCUGCUGGAAAUGCGCGUCCAAGCGAUUAGGCUGGUGAAUAGGUAAAUCCGUUCACCGUGAAGGCUGAGUCGUGAUGGCGAGGGAAAUUUAGUACCGAAGUCCUUGAUUCUACGCUGCCAAGAAAAGCCUCUAGUGAGGAAAGAGGUGCCCGUACCGCAAACCGACACAGGUAGGCGAGGAGAGAAUCCUAAGACGAUCGGGAGAACUCUCGUUAAGGAACUCGGCAAAAUGACCCCGUAACUUCGGGAGAAGGGGUGCUUCCUCGGGUGAAUAGCCCAGGGGAGCCGCAGUGAAAAGAUCCAAGCGACUGUUUAGCAAAAACACAGGUCUCUGCAAAGCCGUAAGGCGAAGUAUAGGGGCUGACACCUGCCCGGUGCUGGAAGGUUAAGAGGAGGGGUUAUCCCUUACGGGAGAAGCUCUGAAUCGAAGCCCCAGUAAACGGCGGCCGUAACUAUAACGGUCCUAAGGUAGCGAAAUUCCUUGUCGGGUAAGUUCC
Molecule: ribosomal RNA, 1986 nt
Filed under: human gut metagenome
Description: bacterial LSU rRNA
Rfam family: Bacterial large subunit ribosomal RNA
Source: RNAcentral